CAAAAAAAGGUCGUGCGGCCGCGUAGGGCAGACUGACUGGGUAGGCCAUUUUAGCAUUUAAGCUCACACUUUAACAUGAAAAUCCCUAAGUUUUGUCCCUACUCAGUUGGUAAUUAUCAGCUUAUGCCCAUGCUUGAACAAGAGAAACAAUAGAAACUAAAGAAAUUAACCUAAUCAAUUUCUAAAAGGAAAAAUAGAAAUUAAGAAGUUAAACAAACAAAAUGUAAUGACACUAGUUAAGAAAUUCACUAAUAAUCAACAAGAAUCAUGGAGCGUUACCAGAAAAUAAUGAGAAUGAGAUGAAGUGCACAAUUGAGUGGAUGAAUAGUAGAGAAUUAGCUUCAAAAUGAAAUUUUGCUAAAAGGGUAGAAGGAUGACUUAGGCGUCUAUUUAUAGACCACUGUGGGGCUCAGUACUCACCUACCUGUGCGGCCUCACAAAAGUGGCAUACGGACCGCACAGGGUUUCCUCCUUGCACUUGAUGCCCACUUCUCAUGCGGUCCGCCUGGUUUUGUCCGCGACCGAGUGAGUAAUCUUCGGAGACUUGACUUUUCUGGCCAUUGUCACGCGGUCUGCCUGGUUUUGUCCGCGACCGUGUUAAUACUUCAUUAGAGAGUGGCCAUUUUUCACCUCUUCCAUCGCGAACCGCACAAGAGUGCCAUGCGGCUGCGUGGUACCCCUUAAGAUUAUUCCCUCGGUCAAUCAAGCCCAUGCAGACCGCACUUUUUUGUGGUGCGGCCACAUGGCACUGGACAGAUAUUGUGCAUUUUCCAUUUUUUUGCUUGCACUGAUUUAAUCUUAUCCCUGCAACACUCCGCAAACAAUCAGCUUAAAAAUCCCACUCUACAAAAGAAAAAUAAAGAAAAUGAAAAGUAUGGGCUGCCUCCCAAGAAGCGCCUGAUUUAACGUCGCGGCACGACUCGUGUUACCAUCAUGAUCAUUUCAAGUGAAGAUGUUCCACCACAUGGUUAUCAUCAAUUUUUCCCAAAUAGUGCUUGACCUUAUGCCCAUUUACCCGGAACACUACACCAUUCUUGUUUUUGAGGUCAAUAGCACCAAAAGGCGUAACACAAACCACUUCAAAAAGACCGCUCCACUUGGAUUUCAACUUUCCCGAAAACAACCUUAACCAAGAAUUGAAGAGAAGAACAAUAUCACCAACCUUGAACUCUUUUCCCCGGGCAUAGUUGUCAUGGAGAUACUUCAUUUUAUCUUUGUACAAAGAUGAGCUAAAAUAUGCAUGAAACCGGAACUCAUCAAGCUCAUUCAACUGUUCAACGGAGAUUGGCAGCGACAUCCCACUCUAAAUUCAACUUUCUCAAGGCCCACUUUGCUUUAUGUUCCAACUCCACCGGAAGAUGACAUGCCUUACCAAAAUCCAACCAACACCACAUGGCUAUCAUCAAUUUUGCCCAAAUAGUGCUUGAACCUAUGCCCAUUUACCCGGAACACUUCACCAUUCUUGUUUUUGAGGUCAAUAGCACCAAAAGGCGUAACACCAACCACUUCAAAAGGACCGUUUCACAUGGAUUUCAACUUUCCGGAAACAACCUCAACCGAGAAUUGAAGCGAAGAACCAUAUCACCAACCUUGAACUCUUUCCCCCGGGACAAUUUGUCAUGGAUAUACUUCAUUUUAUCUUUGUACAAAGAUGAGCUACAAUAUGCAUGAAGCCGGAACUCUUCAAGCUCAUUCAAUUGUUCAACCCGGAGAUUGGCUGCGACAUCCCACUCUAAAUUCAACUUUCUCAAGGCCCACAUUGCUUUAUGUUCCAACUCUACCGGAAGAUGACAUGCCUUACCAAAAACCAACCGAUAUGGCGACAUACCAAUCGGAGUCUUUAAAGGAGUACGAUAAGCCCAAAGUGCAUCAUCCAACUUCUUUGACCUGUCGGUCCUAUUUACAUUGAAGGUCUUGGAAAGAAUACUGUUGAUUUCCCGAUUCAAAACCUCAACUUGGCCACUCGCUUGAGGAUGAUAAGGAGUUGUCACUUUAUGGUUUACCCCAUACUUGGUGAGCAAAGAAUCGAAAACCCGAUUGGAAAAAUGAGAGCCACGAUCACUAAUUAUGGCACCGGGUGUGCCAAACCUAGUAAAUAUGCUCUUCUUCAAGAAAGCCAUCACUCUACGAGCUUCAUUGAUAGGCAAAGCAACGGCCUCAACCCAUUUCGACACAUAGUCCACCACUACCAAAAUAUAGGUGUUGCCACAAGAACUUACAAAAGGGCCCAUGAAGUCUAUCCCCCAAACAUCAAAAAUGUCGACCUCAAGAAUCGUGUUAAGGGGCAUCUCAUAUUUCUUUGAAACUCCUCCCGCACGUUGACACUCAUCACAUCUUUUCACAAAAUCACUGGCAUCCUUGAACAAUGAGGGCCAAUAAAAACCACAACUCAAUACUUUGGACGCCGUCUUCACCCCAUCAUGAUUGCCACCAUAAGGUGAAGAAUGACAAGCUUCCACAAUACUUAGUUAUUCUUCCUCGAGAACACACCGGAAAAUUACACCAUCAGUGUAAAUUUUGAAAAGAAAAGGCUCAUCCCAAUAGAAGUCCAAAGCAUCCCGCUUGAGCUUCUUCCUUUGGUUAGAAGAGAGCUCACACGGGACCACGCCGAUUACCAAAUAAUUUGCAAUGUUGGCAAACCACGGCAUGUAAAGCAUAGAAACUGUGAGGAGUUGCUCAUCCGGAAAAGAAUCAUUUAUCUCAAGGCCAUCUGAAGGCCUCCCUUCCUCCUCCAAACGAGACAACUGAUCCGCCACUUGGUUUUCACUACCCUUUGUAUCCACUAUCUCCAAGUCAAACUCUUGUAGAAGAAGCACCCAUCUCAUCAACCUUGCUUUUGAAUCCUUCUUACAUCAAGUACCUUAGGGCGGCGUGAUCGUUAUGAAUAAUCACUUUUUCCCCCAUUAGGUACGGGCGAAACUUCUCCAUAGCAAAUACAAUUGCAAGCAAUUCCUUCUCGGUGACCGUAUAAUUUCUUUGCGCCUCAUUCAUUUUCUUGCUAGCAUACUCAAGCAUAGAAACCGAGAGGAGUUGCUCAUCCGGAAAAGAAUCAUUUAUCUCAAGGCCAUCUGAAGGCCUCCCUUCCUCCUCCAAACGAGACAAGUGGUCCGCCACUUGAUUUUUACUACCCUUUCUAUCCAAUAUCACCAAGUCAAACUCUAGUAGAAGAAGCACCCAUAUCAUCAACCUUGCUUUUGAAUCCUUCUUAGUCAUCAAGUACCUUAGGGCGGCAUGAUCGGUAUGAAUAAUCAUUUUGGCCCACAUUAGGUACGGGCGAAACUUCUCCAUAGCAAAUACAAUUGCAAGCAAUUCCUUCUCAGUGACCGUGUAAUUUCUUUGCGCCUCAUUCAUUGUCUUGGUAGCAUAGUACACCGGUUGGAACAACUUGUUAAUUUUAUGGCCCAGACCGCCCCCCACUGUAAUAGUUACGGUCGAAACUUCUCUAUAGCAAAUACAAUUUCAAGCAAUUCCUUCUCGGUGACCGUAUAAUUUCUUUGCACCUCAUUCAUUGUCUUACUAGCAUAGUACACCGGAUGGAACAACUUAUUGAUUUUCUGGCCCAAGACCGCUCCCACCACAACAUCACUAGCGUCGCACAUGAGCUCAAAGGGUAAGCUCCAAUUGGGUGCGGUAAUGAUGGGGGUAGUCAUCAAUUUUUGCAAUAGAAGCUCAAACACCUCCAUGCACUUCUCAUCAAACACAUACUUUGCAUCAUUUUCCAACAAUUUACACAAUGCGUUUACUACCUUAGAAAAGUCUUUGAUGAAUCUCUAUUAGAAGAAUGUGUGUCCUAGAAAACUCCUCACCCCUUUGACAAAAAUAGGGGGAGGAAGUCUUGAGAUCACCUCAAUUUUUUCUUUGUCGACCUCGAUACCCCCCCCCCCUCUUUGAAAUUUUAUGACGCAACACAAUUCCUUCUUCCACCAUAAAGUGGCAUUUCUCCCAAUUGAGCACCAAAUAUAUGUCUUCACAUCGGGCCAACACACGAUCAAGAUUUUUAAAACAUUCAUCAAUGAGUCCACGGCCAUACUAAAAUCAUCGAUGAAGAUCCUCAAUAUGUCCUCUACCAUAUCAGUGAAGAUAGCCAUCAUACAUCUCUGAAAGGCCGCUAGAGCAUUACAUAGUCCAAAUGGAAUACGCGAGAAUGCGAAUGUGCCAUACGGACAUGUGAAGGUUGUCUUUUCAUGGGCCUCUGGGGAAAUGAGAAUCUGGUUAUAGCCGGAGUACCCAUCUAGAAAACAAUAGAACGCCCAGCCCGCUAGACGGUCAAGCAUCUGAUCCAAGAAUGGCAAGGGGAAAUGGUCUUUUCUUUUAACCUUGUUCAGUUUUCGGUAGUCGUGCAUACCCUCCAACCCGUCACGGUACGAGUCGGAAUCAUCUCAUUAUUAUCAUUGGUCACUACCGUUAUUCCUCCUUUUUUUGGCAAACACUGAACUAGAGAGGUCCACAAACCGUCAGAAAUUGGAUAUACCACACUGGCGUCAAGCCACUUGAUGAUUUCCUUCUUAACCACCUCUGCAUGGCCUCACUGAGUCUCCUUUGAUGUUCAAGAUAUGGCCUGGCAUCCUCCUCCAAUAUUUAUCUUGUGUAUGCAAAACGCAGGGCUAAUACCCGAAUAUCUGCCAAGGUCCAUCCAAUCGUUCAUUGAGUCUCCUUUGAUGUUCAAGAGAUGGCCUAGCAUCCUCCUACAAUAUUAUCUUGUGCAUGCAAAAUGUGGGGAUAAUACCCCGAAUAUCAGCCAAAGUCCAUCCAAUCGCCCACUUGCGCUUUUGAAAAAUCGCCAAAGUGGCAUCCACCUGCACGUUAGUCAAGCAAGCAGAAAGAAUAACCGGCAAAGUAAAAUUAGGACCAAGAAACUCAUACCUGAGGUGAGGAAGAAAUGGUUUCAACUCCAACACCGGUGGCUCCUCAGUGGAUGGUUUGGUGGGCGGAGUCUUGAAAUUUUCAAGAUCAAUAGAUAGCUUCCUCGGCUCAUAAGAAUAUGAGCUCAUGCCACGAAUUACAUUCACACACUCCACCCUUUCUGAAAUAUCAUCAACAUUCAUGUAUAAGAUCACAUCUUCAAGUGGGUCCUCGAUUUUUGCCAUUGAGCUUGUGUCAUCCACUAUCACGCCGUGAAAAUGUCAAAAAACGAGCACAUUUCGGUGCUAUUUGAUUAGCGCAUAGACUUGCAUACAUGGAAGACCACUUUUUCAUCACCAACGCGGAAAACCAAUUCUCCCGCCUCUACAUCAACCAAGGCCUUCCCCGUAGCAAGGGAAGGCCUCCCAAGAAUAAUAGGCACCUCGAAAUCCACCUCGAAAUCCAAGAUCACAAAGUCCGCCGGCAAUAUAAACUUGUUAACCCGAACGAGGACAUCAUCUAUAAUACCCAAGGGCCGCUUCAUAGAUUGGUCUGCCAUUUGAAGCCUCCUGGAAGUCGGGCGAGGUUGCCUGAUCCCCAAAGUUUUGAACACUGAAUAAGGCAUGAGAUUGAUACUUGCCCCCAAGUCACAUAGGGAUUUUGCAAAUCCACGCUUCCAGUUGUGCACGGUAUUGUGAAGGCACCGGGAUCCUAUAGCUUCGGAGCCAUGGAGUGCACAAUGGAGCUCACUUGAUGUGUCACCUUGAUAGUUUCGCACUCCAAAGAUCUCGUACUGGUAACCAAGUCCUUCAUGAACUUUGUAUAUCCAAGCAUUUUUUCAAGUGCCUCCACUAAAGGCACAUUGAUAGUCAAACUCUUCAUCAUCUCAAUAAACUUUUUAAAUUGAUUGUCACCCNNNNNNNNNNNNNNNNNNNNNNNNNNNNNNNNNNNNNNNNNNNNNNNNNNNNNNNNNNNNNNNNNNNNNNNNNNNNNNNNNNNNNNNNNNNNNNNNNNUUGAGGAUAUGGCGGAGGAGGCCUAGGUAAAGGUGCCUUGGCUUUUGGCACCGUAGGUUCCGGCAUGUCAAUGAUGUGUUCCCUAGAUGGUUUCACGACCUCUUGGGUCUCUUCCUCACCCUCAUCAAUAUCUAUUCUCACUUCAUUCCUCAAAAUUGGUUCAUCAAUAUCUUCAACCACUAAUGGGACAUCAUCCCGCAAUUCAUCAUCAUCGACCCUAGAUUGACUUUCUUGCACAUCACCCCCUCUCCCGCUACGCGUUUUCAAUGCCAUGACAUGAUUGUUGUGCCCACCCUUGGGGUUCACCACCGUAUCACUUGGUAGUGCACCCUUCGGGCGAGUGUUAAGAGAUUGUGAUAUUUGUCCAAGUUGCACCUCUAAGUUCCGGAUCGAAGGGUUGUGGGAGGCUAAUUGGGCAUCCGAGUCGUGAUUCCUCUUCAUCAUUUUUUCAAACAUGUUCCUAAUUAUACCCAUAUCUUGAUAUAUUGUGGGAGACUAAUUGAGCAUCCGAGUCGUGAUUCCUCUUCAGCAUUUGUUCAAACAUGUUCUCAAUUCUACCCAUAUCUAGACCUGGAGAACUCGACCCUUGAGAUUGGAAUGGGGAGGAUUGUUCGAUUGUUGAAACACCUGGGGCCUUUGAAAACCUUGCCUUCGAUUGCCUAUUGUUCCACGCACCGUUAUUGUUAUUGUUCCAAUUAUUGUUGUUUCGCCCCAAUUGCCUUGAUUACCCAAUUGUUACCUUGAUUACCUUGAUUUCCCCAAUUGUUGUUCCAAUUUCCACUAUUAUGUUGGUUCCACCAAUUGCCUUGGGAACGCCAUUGUUGAUUCCAUUGGUUUCCUCUAUUGCCUUGGUAAUUAUUCACAUAUUGGACCUCUUCACUUUGGUCAUCAUAACACACAUUCGAAUAACCAUUCUCAUCAUCAAAGUUGUCAAAAUUUUCCGGAGGCUGUUGUUGUUGCCCUUUUUGCCUUCUUUUCAUCAUACUCACUCCCUCCAUGGCAUUGACUUGGCGUGGAUUUUUAACUUGUUGAAGUUGUGCCUUAGCCAAUUGGUUCAUUGUUGUUGUAAGUUCGGCGAUGGCUUGAUCGUGAUCAUGCAACUCCUUAUGCAAGUGUAUAACAUUGGGAUCACCUUGAGGAACAUUAGCCCGGCUUUGCCAUGCCGAAGAAGUGUCGGCCAUUUUUUCGAGAACAUCACAAGCUUCGAUGUAUGGAAGCUUCAUAAAAUUACCACCGGCUAAUUGAUUAACAAUGCAUUGGUUAGUUCUAUUUAUACCCCGAUAGAACGUUUGUUGGAUCAUCACAUCAUUCAUAUAAUUGUUGGGGCAGACUUUCACCAUUGUCCGAAAUUUCUCCCAUAUAUCAUGUAAAGGCUCCGUCGGCUCUUGCUUGAAAGCUAGGAUCUCACCUCUAAGAGCCGCCAUAUGACUAGGAGAGAAGAACUUCGCAAUGAAUUUAUCUGCCAACUCAUCCCAAGUAGUGAUGGAAUGGAUUUGCAACCUCUCCAACCAAUCUAAUGCCUUCCCACGAGCUGAAAAGGGGAAAAGCCUUAGCCUCAGUGCAUCUUCCGAAACAUUCGUCUAUUUGCUCUCCCAACAUGUAUCCACAAAUCCUUUCAAAUGCUUGUAGGAGUUUUGGUCCGAAGCGCCUGUGAAAUACCCUCGUUGUUCGAGCAAAGUAAGCAUGACAUUGGUGAUUUGGAAGUUCCCCGCCCGAAUUCGGGGAGGAACUAUUGCACUUGCGUACCCUUGAUUGGGUAGAACUCGUGGAGCAACUCUUAGUGGAAGUGGAGGAGGGUCUUGUAUGUUGUCAUUAGCAUUAGAGGGAGGGACCAUUGCACUUGCAUACCCUUAAUUGGGUAGAACUCGUGGAGCAACCCUUGGUGGAGGUGGAGGAGGGUCUGGUAUGUGGUCAUUAGCAUUUGCAUUAGCAUUUCUACCCCUCCUUUGAGCUUGGGUAAAAUCUCAUCUUUUUCCACAUCUUCCACCUCCUCCACUUCAACAUUAAGAGGCUCAUUUGCAUUUAAAGCCAUUGGCACCUGAGUGAAAUUAACAAAAAAAUAAGUAACAAGAAGGAAAGAGAAGCAAAAACACACAACUAGCCAACAAAUAGUCAAAUGCCGUAAAGCUCCACGACAAGGCACCAAAAAGUGCUCGUGUCGAACUCAAUCCGAAGAAAGAGUGGGCGCGACAACUAAUAACCCAAUAGUAAAUCGGGGUCGUAAAUUCCUCAGGGAGCUUCAAGUUGGAUAUGAGUAAUUGUAUGGCUUAGAAAUGCGUUCUAACUUCAAAUUGGUCUUUUUUCAUUUUUAGGUUUUCGAUAUAGUUAUCAACUACAAUUAUCAACUACUAUUAUGAUCUAAAAUUAAGCUAAGAUGAUUCAUUCGAGAUUUAAAGAAUAAGAUAGAAGCACUAGGGUCGUGACACUCACCUAGGCGGAUAAUCAAUGAGUAUAGUAUUCUAACACAAGGAUGCUAAAAAUGGGGAAUAUCCGUUGCUCUUUUAGCACUCGCUCUUACUCCUAUAGGUAGAGAGAAUGAUUUUGCCUAAUUGACUCUCUUGAGACCAAUUGGGUAGGCCAAUUUUCCCAAGCAACACAAGGUUCAAGUAGGUUAAUUACUCUCUCAAGAUUUAACCGGUUACUUGGGACUACCAUUCUCAUGGGUCCAUCCCAAAUCCUUGUUGGGUUGAAUGUGAGGUCAUAGACUCUCUUUCUCAAGAAGAGUCAAGACCCANNNNNNNNNNNNNNNNNNNNNNNNNNNNNNNNNNNNNNNNNNNNNNNNNNNNNNNNNNNNNNNNNNNNNNNNNNNNNNNNNNNNNNNNNNNNNNNNNNNNNNNNNNNNNNNNNNNNNNNNNNNNNCUGUUUGCAACCACCAAAUCAAAGUGAAAACAUACACACAACCCAAAUACCAAACACCCAACAGCAUCCAAGAUUAGGUAAAAACACUCAUUAAUUGCCCACACUAGUGUUGAGUCACAACCUUAUCUGAUGGGUUUAGCUAGACAUGGAAGAAGUAGAAAAGGCAGAAAUAAUGAAAAAGACGAACGUAAUCAUUAACUAUAUGCUAAAUCUACUUGAAUCCACUUUAAUUACAAGAAUAAGUUGCCUGAAAUAGGCUAAUAUAAAAGCUCACGAGUGCAGCUAGUGUUCAGAACAUAAAACUUAACCUAAAAGAGUAAAGUGUUCUAUUUAUACUACUCAGGAAAACUGGACAAAAAUACCCCUGAGGGUCUGGUGCGGACCGCACAGAAAUGGUGUGCGGCCGCGUACAGCAAGGUGUCUUCACUUCAGUCGCCUCUGGAUAAGAGAUGUGGACCACAUCAAAAUGCAUCGCACCCGUGUAGGUCUUCGCAAGCGGACCGCAUGGAAAUGCAAUGCAGCCGCGUAGGUUGGUUCAGGCGGACCGCAUGAAAGUGAUGCGCAGCCGCACAAGAGGAAUUUGCAAAAGGUUGCUUCUAUGAACUUGUGCCCACGCGGACCGCUUGCUUUUGGUUUGCGGACGCGUGGGUCUUGUGCCUUGAAUGUCCUAGCCUCUGAAUCUUCAUCAAUGCGGACCGCAUAAAAGCGGAUACGGCCCGCGUGGGUUUUCCCUCAAAAUGCCAUGUCUCUGAACUCUUUCCAUGCGGCCGCAUCACAUAAACAGGCGGACCGCGCAGAAGGCAUGGUAGAUUGGUAAGUCUCUAAAUCUUCCUACGGAGCCGCACACCAAAACAGUGCGGUCCGCACAGGUUCUUAGUUUCCACUUUUUGUCAUCUUCUUGUCACUUGGAAAAUUUCACUCUUUCUUGAGCCGAUUUGUGAUUUUAAUUAUCUUGUCGCUCAAACUUGCAAUCAAGCGCAACUUGUAAGUAAUUCAGGACUAAUCAAGGUAAAUUAUGCACAAAGCUAAGGUAAGAAGGGGCAUAAAUCAUGUAUAAUUCAUAGUUAUCAGGCUAGUCCCAUAUCUAGGGUCUUAACGAACGCUACUAUGUAACGUCUCUUUAAUAAAUUACCUUUUCCUAUCAAAAAAAAUUUUGAAAUAAAUUUAAUUUCUCAUGAACAACCAAUUUAAAUUACAAUAAGCUUUUGAUUCCUUUGACUAUCUAAAACAAGAAAGCAUAGCAAAAAUACGAUUGAGAAUAAGAUUCAUUAGAUGCAAUUGAAGGUGUCUAAGUGCUGGGCCGAUUCAAUUUUUUUGACCCAUAGGGGUUCCGGUCCGGGCCGGUUCCGGAUUAUACCUUAAUGGGUUCGGGUUCAUACGAAUAAAAAUUGAACCAUACGGGUUACGGGUUGAUGGGCCGGGUCAGUCCGUAUUUAGUAUAGAUAUUGUAAGCUAUAUUAAUAUAACGUACUAACAUAAAGAAUACAAGGAAGAUGGAAAAAAAUUGCACUUAUUUCUAGUGCUACUUUUAUUUCUUAAUUUAAAGUUUCAAACUUACAAAAUGAAAAAUUUACAUUUUUUUCAAGAAGUAAAGUAGUAAAUUCAAAUAUUUUGCAUUGCCUUAGUAAGUUCAUCAUAAUUAAUAUAAACCGAUUGACCUUCUUCUGGAGUGUUAGAUUAGUAUGGGUUUUUAUGUUUUAAUAUAUUUUCAAGUUCCUCUUCUUCUGGGCUAUCAACAUCUUCAUUUCCUUGAUUUCUUUGUUCCGAUCUAAUUCCAUCUCUGAAAAGUACUUAAACUUGCAAAGCAUUGCUUCUCAAUGAGUGGCAGGUGUCUCCAAGUUGUUCUAUUGCUUGGAUAAAUGCACUCUCCGAUGCAACUGUAGAAAUUGACACAUUCAGCACGUCUCGAGCCAUAGAGAAAAGAACAGAAAAUUUUUUUUCAUUCUCAUGCCACCAUCCCAACGGUGAAAAUUUCUUUGUGCGAGGCUCUUUUUGUUUCUGCAAGUAGGAUUGAAGUGCAUCAAUGUUCCUACUACUGGUUUGAGUGUUAGAAAAUAUAGAAAAAAUAUUAAAACUAUCAAGGCCUUCUUUAUCAUCCACAGUUGCAGAAGUUGUACAGUGCAAGCUGGGAUUAACGUUGCCCACAUUAAGAACAGAAUCAUCAAAUACAUUUGCAUACCUUCUUCAUCAUCCACAGUAGCAGAAGUGGUACAGUACAUAGUGGGAGUAACAUUGCCUACAGUACGAGCAGCAGCAUCGCAUUCAUUUGCAUAAUAAUUAUAUAAUUGUUCGAAAUAUUCAUUUAGCUUGUUCAUAGAGACAUAUAAAGUUGGAAUUUCAGUUUCUCCAAUAUAAGUAUAUAAGCAUUCAUUAAUUGGUGACAAUUAGAUAUCUUAAUAGAAAAUUUAAAAUUGUACCAAUUAAGUAAAUAGGAGGAAUUGAAAAGAAAUAUUUUUUGAAUUUUUCUUGCAUUUUUUCAACAACAUCCUUAUAUUUUUCUUUCUAUUCAGAUAGUAGAAAAGAAAUUUCAGCUAUAUGUACUAAAGGCAAAUAUGCUUCAGAAAACUCAAGAGUAGCUACAUAAAAUUUAUGUAAAAAUUUAACAAUAUCACUAAUGACCUCCCAAGUAACACUUGUUAACAUAGCUUUGUAUCAGUACAAUGCGCAUUAGUAACUUCAGUUAUUGGGAAUCUAUAUUUGUAGCAAUAUUUCAAAAAUAUAUAUGAAUAAUUCCAUCUAAUAACUAUUUCGUCUGGCAUGAUUCUAGAUUUAAGGUUAUACUGAACACACUUAUUAUUAAAUUCCUUUAUUCUAGAUUGUCUAUUAUUUCCUUGAAUAACACCAACUGCUCUUUUAACAUGAGUAUUCUCAGUUGCAAAUAAAUCAAGAAUACUUUUAAAAAUUAAAUUAUAAACAUGACAUGCACACCUAAUAUGAAAAAUUUCAGCAAGAGGUGGUUGCAAAUGCGUUUUUAAUAUUGAAAUUGCGGCAUUAUUUUUAGAAGCAUUAUCAAAAGACAUACACAAUACUUUUUUGUUUAGAUUAUAAAAUUCAGCAACUUAAACAAUAGUACUAUUUAUAAACGCAGCAGUAUGACUCUGAUCUUCAUCAUAUUUAAGAGCGAUAAUACGUUUUUGCAUACAAGUAGAAUCAUCUAUCCAAUGGCAUGUAAUUGUCAAAUAAUCAUUUUCAUUAACAGCAUGUCCAAUAUCAUAAGUUAGACAAACUUUACAAGAAAGGUGGCUAAACAAAUAACGUAUGUAUGUUUGAUAUUGUCCAUGAAGUUUAAAGAUAUCAGCUCUACAAAUACUUCUAGGGAUACCUUUAAAUAAAUGAUUGUAAAUCCUUUGAAUAUACAUAAUAAGAUAUGAUGAAGAAGCAAAAGAAAAAUGUAGAAAACCCAAAGUAAUCAUUUUUGUUAACUCCUUACGAUCCUUCAUUUUAUCAUAUUUCAUUAGACCUCCAGUAGGUAGUUACUGCUUGUUAUUAUUGCAUGCGACUGUAUUUAUGUUUCCUAUGUUUUCAUAAUUNNNNNNNNNNNNNNNNNNNNNNNNNNNNNNNNNNNNNNNNNNNNNNNNNNNNNNNNNNNNNNNNNNNNNNNNNNNNNNNNNNNNNNNNNNNNNNNNNNNNNNNNNNNNNNNNNNNNNNNNNNNNNNNNNNNNNNNGCUUUUCAUUUUAGCCUAUGCGCCGAGGGUCGAUUGGAAACAGCCUCUCUGCCCUUUCGGGUAGGGGUAACGCUUGUCUACAUAUUACCCUCCCCAGACCCCACCUGGUGGGAAUAUACUGGGUAGUUGUUGUUGUUGUUGUCAUUAGACCUCUAGUAGUAUGGUUAAUAGUUGUUUGAUUCUCAUCACCAUCAACGCCCCAUUCUAUGGGACGGUCAACUCUCAUAUGUCUACUAAGCGUCUCAGUCCUCCCUAAUUUUCCUCCAGUCAAAUAUUUAAAAUUAUCGUUACAAAUUUUGCAUCUAACUCUAUCAGUAUCUUCUAUUAUUUCAAAAAUAAUUCAAACCUUAUUUCUUUUUCUACGAUUAGUAGUCGGAGCCACGGAUAGUCUUCUACUAGUGCCACGACCACCACACCUUAUACCAACUCUAAACACUACCGGCUCCAACUCUAGUAAGUGUAGCUGGUAUCUCAUUUUCCAUUCCUAUUUCAUUAUCUUCUAUUCCAAAAUCUUCUUGUAAUUGUUCAUAAUCUAUAUUAUCAUUAGGGGAUGUUUCGAAAAUAUGUGUAAAUUGGGUAUUACUAUUACUACCAUAUGCUGAAGGACAAUCUCUUUUUUUAUUUUUCCUACCAGUAACUUUUUUACAUGCUUUUUUAGCAGCAUUCAACAUAUUAUAAAAAUUAAAGUAUAAGCUAAAAUUAAAUAUGCAAUUAUGUAAAUAAAAGAAAGAGUUGGAGAGAGUGCACCGAAUUCGACAAUAAAAGUAGCAUUUGAUUAAACAAUUCUGAUGUUACCAUGAACAAACGUCAACUCGUCAAGCAAGUAUUUCAAUUUUGAACUCCAAUUGUUCACAGUUGAAACUUCAAACUUCAAAUUCCGAAUGAAAAAACACGAUAAAUUAAAUUCAAAAAAAGUUAGCCAAACAAAAUUAAAAGAUUAAAUAAUGAAUUGAAGUAUUGCAAAUUAGAGAAUGAGAGAAAUUGACAUUGAGAUAUGAGAUUUGAGUGACAAGAUAAAGAAGAGGGGGGAUGGGAUAUUUAUAGUUUUAAAAAUGGUUAAUUUUAUAAAUUCAAAAAGGGUUAAAAACUUAAAAUUAAAAAAUGGUUAUUUCAUCAAUAGAUUCAUUGGCUAAUGGAUCAAAUCUUAAAUUUGACCAAACCAACGAAUAGUGGGCCCCAUCUAUUGAUGAAAUAGUCGGUUCGGUAGCGGGUAAGCCCGGCUGGUAAGACAGCUUUAGAUGCAACACAAUAUUCCGACAUAUGAUGUUGGGCCCUUGCGGGCUGGCAUUUACUAGUAAAAAGAAAAGCAAGGCUUAACUAGAAAAAAAAUAUGAUCAUUUGCAUCUAUAUUCAUUUUUUGUGUCACAUUUUAAUUUGUGUUUGCUUUGUAAAAAAAAUGACAAGUGUACCCGCUUUUUCACAUAACUUCAGCACACGAAGCUGAAGUAGCAAAGUCAAUUAUGCAAAACUUCAGCAUUUUAGUAGUCGGGUCUGAAGUUCAAUUCUAAAGCUGAAAUUUUUGUAUUGUAACAGCUAAAAUUUUAUUGUUGUAGCUGAGAAACUUCAGCUCUAAUGCUGAAUUUUUUGUAGAGCUAAAGUUCCGCUUACCUCUUCCAUUUCCUUGGCACCAUUUUGAAGAAAAUUUCAGUCAGAUGUAGGAGAUAUUGCAACAACCAUUUGGGUAUUAGCUUCUUGUUUUUAUCACAGCCGAAAAGUUCAAGACGACAGAGAUGGAAAAAAGUCCCAACUGAAGGCAAAAAAUCUCCGAACUCUAUCUUAACAAGACCAAUGAAUCCUUUUAAGUUAUGCAAACUCGUUCCGUCAAGAUAAGUGAGUCCAAGAGCUGCCAACUUUCCUUCUAACCUAAUUAAGAACACUAUACCAUUAGAAUAGUGGAUUUCAAUUUUCUUCAUUUAUACCGCAUAAAGAUUAAAAUUGAAAAAAAAAAAGUUAACUUUUGGACUAAAACUACAACAACUACCCAGUAUAUUCCCACCAGGUGGGAGUCUGGGAAGGGUAAUAUGUAGACAAGCCUUACCCCUACCCGAAAGGGCAGGGAGGCUGUUUCCAAUCGAUNNNNNNNNNNNNNNNNNNNNNNNNNNNNNNNNNNNNNNNNNNNNNNNNNNNNNNNNNNNNNNNNNNNNNNNNNNNNNNNNNNNNNNNNNNNNNNNNNNNNNNNNNNNNNNNNNNNNNNNNNNNNNNNNNNNNNNNNNNNNNNNNNNNNNNNNNNNNNNNNNNNNNNNNNNNNNNNNNNNNNNNNNNNNNNNNNNNNNNNNNNNNNNNNNNNNNNNNNNNNNNNNNNNNNNNNNNNNNNNNNNNNNNNNNNNNNNNNNNNNNNNNNNNNNNNNNNNNNNNNNNNNNNNNNNNNNNNNNNNNNNNNNNNNNNNNNNNNNNNNNNNNNNNNNNNNNNNNNNNNNNNNNNNNNNNNNNNNNNNNNNNNNNNNNNNNNNNNNNNNNNNNNNNNNNNNNNNNNNNNNNNNNNNNNNNNNNNNNNNNNNNNNNNNNNNNNNNNNNNNNNNNNNNNNNNNNNNNNNNNNNNNNNNNNNNNNNNNNNNNNNNNNNNNNNNNNNNNNNNNNNNNNNNNNNACAAUCGCAGGCAAUAAAAUCGUGCAGUAACUAUCAUAACUAACAGCCACAGGAGGGCACACGCUAACACACAAAUCAUCUAUGAGAAAACCUACUGACAUGCGAAGGACUCUAGGAACUCCUAACCUACAACCCUGAUUCUGGACCUAAUAAACUGCAAAAGGAAUCCAGGUGGAUUCGAACCACCGUCCUCUCAAUUGGACACGAUUGAGCGCUCCCCCAGAGGCCGAGCUCUUGGAUCCAUCAAACCGGUAACUCAAGUUCCAAUAACACCAUUAACUAACCGGGCAACCUUAUAUUGUGAUAAAAAAUGACGUCAAACAAAUAUUGCAUUUACUUAAAAGUUCCACUUGACAGUCUUAACCCUUAUCCAUUCUAAAAAAUAAUGGCGCUUUCCACCUUUAAUACUCUGCUCCGUCUCAUAUUAUUUGAUAUUUGAGGUUAUUUUUAGUUUGUUACAAAAUAUAUGACACAUUUCCUUAUUUUUCUCCCUUCGUGAAAAACAUUUAGCCCUUAUUUUUUAAGAUCACAAAUUUUAGAAGUAUACUCCAUAUUGGAAACGAACGGAGUAACCAUUUAGACAUUGACUACUUUAUUCUACUUCUAACACGAUUUCAGAGUUUAUGACAAUUUCACAAUGCUACAUGGUCAAGUAGGAGUGACUCAAUUCUACUUUAAUUUUCACAGCAUGAUUUCAAAGUUGUAAACAAUAGAAUAUGUUUAGGACAGACCAACUGCAUAAGUAAAUUUUGUAAAGGGGUAAAGAUCUUUUACUAAUUUUAGCAGGUACCGGAAAAAUAGAAAAUAAAUACCACAGCCAACCAAAAAGCCACCAUAUAACAUUAAGUAGAAAGAUCAGUAAACCAGUCCUACAAAUUAUCACUAGUUUGAAAUAUUUCCAAGAAAGCAAGUACUCCUUUCAAUGCAAACAUUAAAAAUAUCCCAAAUUAAUUGCUUACUUCAGUACACUUCCCAUUAGAUUUUAUUAAUUGAGCAAGUGAAAGUAUAAAGUAGUGAUGAACUACAACAUCUGGCUAUAAGGAGAAAAUUUUGCAGCUUUAAAUAGUCAAAUUUCAGCCACCGAAGACCAAGAAGAAAUUAUCAAAUUUAUGAAACAUUUCUCUAUAACAUCCGUAUGCUCUCUCUAUCGACGUACGUACACUAAAACAGGACCAUUUGAAAGAACUAGAAUUUGGCAGUUGCUAGGAGUAAGAGCAAUAUAACCUGUAAUAAAAUAACUAGUUAGCAUAUAAUAAACUACCAACAAUGGAUACUAAGCAUGACAUUACCUCUACAAACGAUCAAGACAACACAUGUACCAGAUGUGGAUAUUUCCUUGAAGUACAUCUUCAGCAAAAAAGGAAUAAACUUCCACAACCUACUAAAUUGGCACACGAUAGCAGAUUUUUUGAAUACCCAGGCAAUAGAAGAAAUCUCCAAUAAAGGCAUGGUAAUAACCAGUUCUUUUUUUUUUGGUAACAACCAGUUUUCUAUCAUCUACAAAAGUUGCAAUAUCCAUUUCCUAAGAGAUAGCAAAAAUUUAUAUAGAUCCAAGACAUAUAAUAAAAUUAAAGUGGUAAGACUCCCUUGCAGGUAUCAGGAUGAUGCUGGCUUUCUUUAAGAGCAGCAACGUAAACAUUGAAACUUCAAAUUUAACCCUACGGCUCCAGCAAUAUACCAAACAAUCUGGACGAGCUAAAGCCACUAAGGCGGCAACACUUUGAAAGAAAUCAAAACAAAUAAAAGAAGCCUCAAUUUCAGACAGCUAUUCCAACUGACCGUAAUAACAGAGCGUACACAACUGACACUUAAGCAGUAGAAUAUCACCUUUCUCACCGUAAUUCAGUAGCAUCCCAAGGUGGUUGAUCAGCUCAAGGCAGAUACACAUAUUGAUCUUCAACAAAGUAGCUAGCACCAUCCCAAAGCAAGUGGAGGGAAAAAUGACAUUCUAUCCAAAUACUGAAACAUAUUUGAGUACAUACAUAUUCACCCCUCCAAGACUACAAAAAACUGCACUCGGACAAAACGUCCCAUUCAAAUUCACUAUUACAUUACAACAGGACAGAGAUUUUCCCACUAGUUCUACCAAUCAAUAACUGACUAUUGAAACUCUAUCAUGACAGACUAAUAAAAUAAUAGGAAGAUAGUGAACCAUUUGAAUAAAAAAUUCCACAUUACACAUUCGAAUGACUUGCAAAUGAGGUAGCAUUGUAAAUCAUCGGAAAUAUAAACAAGAGAUGAGGUAACGGAUGAUUCACAGGGUUAACAAUCUCAUUUUUUAAGAACCAACUAGGAUGUAUGCCGCACGCCUGUCAACCCAAGUGAACAUCAUAUUUGCAAAACCUAAUUUUGAAAAACAAAUUUACCCGUUCAAAAACGCUAUUAAGUUAUCCAAGUUGUUGUUGUUACCAAAUGUAGAAACAUUUUUCUUGCAAAAGAGUUGAUUAUUAUACCCAGCUAGAAUGUCGCCCCUGUAAUCUUGCACUGUACUAAUCAUUAAAGAGCAUUUAUUUUUAAUAAGUAACUCAUUAGCCCAUAUCGCUAGCUUGGAAUUAAUAGCUAUAUCUCAUUUUUGACAAUUAGAUCAAUACUGUCAUCGUAGUCUAAGAUGAGCAUUACAAAAUUUUAAGGACUGCUAUGUGAAAGACUUACUCAUGGAACGGCAAUAUGCUAUAUGCUAAGUUAAACGUAAAUGUUAGUGGAGGGAAUUCGUUCUUGUACCUUUGAUUGGAGUGCUGGAGCAGAUUAAUCCUAGCAUUAGCCUGACCGAAGUCAAAUUUAAGAGAUGCACAACUCACUUGCCCUUGAAUAACAGACCACCAUUCAAAGGGCAAGUAUCCAACAAUCUGAUGUGACGUUCUUGGUGGUAUUGAUCUUGCGCAUAAUAUCUACAGAACAAGGAAGACAACAAAAGACAAAACAGACGCAGAGAGGAGCGCCAGACAAAAACCCUGUGCCAUCUCCUCUCCAGAAACAAAAUAUAGAAACUUUAUUGGGUAUUGUGACCUGCCAUGCGAGCGCACCCAUCAUGGCAAAGGUCGGGGAACAACAACAAAAAACCCACAUAUCCUCUCUUUUUCUCUAUGACAAUACAACUAACUCGUACAUAUGCAUGCGUAUCAGAAAGGUUAAUGUUCAUCAAUGAUGCAACUCAUAAUAGACAACAAAUUAAACAAUGAAACCUUUUCUAACAACCACAACCUCGCCGAUUACCAUCGGUUAAUCCACCCACAGUUCGACAGUUGGAGCAUCAACCAGAUCUGAUUAGUCAAGCAGCUCUACAGAACAGAUAUAUGGUCAAUUUGAGCCGCGUGUAGAAUCAAAUCUGCAGCAAACAAAAACACCACAACAGAUGUCAACAAAUAGAAUUUGGUCCAAAACGGUAGAUAAAUGCAAAAAUAAUAGAAACAAAUAGGCUAAUCGACAGAACCCAAGCAGCAAACGAUGAAACAUCCAAUCGACUUGAAUAACCAGAUUUGGUUGCUUUGAAACAAAUAACAAGAAGACAAGAGCUACUCUUCCAAAUUAUGAAACUUUCAUCGACUCAUUCCUCAAAAUCAAACGGUCCGUAACAAAACCUCCGGCCCAACAAUCAAAAAGCCGAUCUCCGAUGGAACUCGAAACCAUACUCAAAUGGUAGAUCAGCGAACGAUCUACACAGAUCUGAACACAGUGUCAAAAGAAGAGAAAUGAUAAAGAGCAGAUCUGAAGAGAAAAGAUCCACGGUGGAGGCGGAAGAGAUUGAAAAUGGGAUGCGACUUGAUGAAGAGGUCAGGCGUUAUUUUAUAGUGGGUUAGGAUGAUCGGACGGUUU
This 18779-nucleotide long non-coding RNA is filed under the name Nicotiana benthamiana. RNAcentral describes it as "long non-coding RNA (NBEN_LNC012054)". Lineage: Eukaryota; Viridiplantae; Streptophyta; Magnoliopsida; Solanales; Solanaceae. The record is from RNAcentral.